RNAcentral lists this ribosomal RNA (493 nucleotides) under uncultured bacterium. RNAcentral describes it as "bacterial SSU rRNA". It matches the Rfam family "Bacterial small subunit ribosomal RNA", at positions 15 to 507 of the family's 1533-position model. The record is from RNAcentral.
GAUCAUGGCUCAGAGUGAACGCUGGCGGCGUGCCUAAUACAUGCAAGUCGAACGUGAAAGCCUUCGGGUGAGUAAAGUGGCGCACGGGUGAGUAAUAGAUGAGAACAUGCCCUGAGGUGGGGAAUAACUGUUGGAAACGACAGCUAAUACCGCAUGGUAUCGUAAGAUUAAAGGUGGCCUCUGCAUAUGCUACCGCCACAGGAUUGGCUCAUCUCCCAUUAGCUAGUUGGUAGGGUAAUGGCCUACCAAGGCAACGAUGGGUAACUGGUCUGAGAGGAUGAUCAGUCACACUGGAACUGAGACACGGUCCAGACUCCUACGGGAGGCAGCAGUAGGGAAUAUUGCACAAUGGGGGAAACCCUGAUGCAGCAACGCCGCGUGAGUGAAGAAGGCCCUUGGGUUGUAAAGCUCUUUAGCCUGGAAAGAAGCCGUCGUAGGUGAACAAUCUGCGGGGGUGACGGUACCAGGAGAAUAAGCACCGGCUAAUUUCGUG